GGUUCCAUAGUGUAGUGGUUAGCACGUCUGCUUUACACGCAGAAGGUCCUGGGUUCGAUCCCCAGUGGAGCCA
Molecule: transfer RNA, 73 nt
Organism: Loxodonta africana (African savanna elephant)
Lineage: Eukaryota; Metazoa; Chordata; Mammalia; Proboscidea; Elephantidae
Rfam family: tRNA
About the family: Transfer RNA (tRNA) molecules are approximately 80 nucleotides in length. Their secondary structure includes four short double-helical elements and three loops (D, anti-codon, and T loops).
Source: Rfam